AAGGUAGCUUGCUACUGGACCUAGCGGCGGACGGGUGAGUAAUGCUUAGGAAUCUGCCUAUUAGUGGGGGGACAACAUUCCGAAAGGAAUGCUAAUACCGCAUACGCCCUACGGGGGAAAGCAGGGGAUCUUCGGACCUUGCGCUAAUAGAUGAGCCUAAGUCGGAUUAGCUAGUUGGUGGGGUAAAGGCCUACCAAGGCGACGAUCUGUAGCGGGUCUGAGAGGAUGAUCCGCCACACUGGGACUGAGACACGGCCCAGACUCCUACGGGAGGCAGCAGUGGGGAAUAUUGGACAAUGGGCGGAAGCCUGAUCCAGCCAUGCCGUGUGUGUGAAGAAGGCCUUUUGGUUGUAAAGCACUUUAAGCGAGGAGGAGGCUCCUUUAGUUAAUACCUAAAGUGAGUGGACGUUACUCGCAGAAUAAGCACCGGCUAACUCUGUGCCAGCAGCCGCGGUAAUACAGAGGGUGCGAGCGUUAAUCGGAUUUACUGGGCGUAAAGCGUGCGUAGGCGGCUUUUUAAGUCGGAUGUGAAAUCCCUGAGCUUAACUUAGGAAUUGCAUUCGAUACUGGAAAGCUAGAGUAUGGGAGAGGAUGGUAGAAUUCCAGGUGUAGCGGUGAAAUGCGUAGAGAUCUGGAGGAAUACCGAUGGCGAAGGCAGCCAUCUGGCCUAAUACUGACGCUGAGGUACGAAAGCAUGGGGAGCAAACAGGAUUAGAUACCCUGGUAGUCCAUGCCGUAAACGAUGUCUACUAGCCGUUGGGGCCUUUGAGGCUUUAGUGGCGCAGCU
RNAcentral lists this ribosomal RNA (787 nucleotides) under uncultured bacterium. Its description in RNAcentral is "SSU rRNA". It matches the Rfam family "Bacterial small subunit ribosomal RNA", at positions 72 to 853 of the family's 1533-position model. The record is from RNAcentral.